CCUACGGGAGGCAGCAGUGAGGAAUAUUGGUCAAUGGACGAGAGUCUGAACCAGCCAAGUAGCGUGAAAGAUGACUGCCCUAUGGGUUGUAAACUUCUUUUAUAUGGGAAUAAAAUGUUCCACGUGUGGGAUUUUGUAUGUAGCAUAUGAAUAAGGAUCGGCUAACUCCGUGCCAGCAGCCGCGGUAAUACGGAGGAUCCGAGCGUUAUCCGGAUUUAUUGGGUUUAAAGGGAGCGUAGGUGGAUUGUUAAGUCAGUUGUGAAAGUUUGCGGCUCAACCGUAAAAUUGCAGUUGAAACUGGCAGUCUUGAGUACAGUAGAGGUGGGCGGAAUUCGUGGUGUAGCGGUGAAAUGCUUAGAUAUCACGAAGAACUCCGAUUGCGAAGGCAGUUCACUGGACUGCAACUGACACUGAGGCUCGAAAGUGUGGGUAUCAAACAGGAUUAGAUACCCUUGUAGUC
Molecule: ribosomal RNA, 460 nt
Filed under: uncultured bacterium
Lineage: Bacteria
Description: partial 16S ribosomal RNA
Rfam family: Bacterial small subunit ribosomal RNA
Source: RNAcentral